UGUGCCAUUCCACCGUUUUCGACAGUUGGUAUUCCACUCUACAUUUCGACAAAAUUCGAGUUGGCUCCUAACGCCACUGAUCCGCUUGUAAACUGUUGCAAAUUGUCUAGUUAAUAAAUAAUUCCAUAGUACUUACUCUAAUUGACCUUUUUGCCAAUGUAGAGCGCGAAAAAGUAGAGUCGAAAAUUCUCCGAUAUUCGACUCUACGCGUAAACAUAUCGAAUAUUCCACCGUUUUCGACAGGCAGAGAAUUCGGUGUAAAUCGAAAGAUAUUGCAAAGAGAGGGUCCAGUAUAAGUAAAAUAUGUGUUUUAGCCUUUAAUUAGCAUGCCUAAUUGGUUCGGCGGCCGAAAAACUUCGGCUUAUUAAAUCGGUAAUCUAAGGCAGUGACGGUGGCAGCACCGGUAACCGGUAUCGCACUUAGCAGCUGGUGUGAGGGCGAGCCGCGCCCACAUUAGCAAAAUAUAUUAUACAUCAUUGCCGGCUCGCGCAAUGCUCAAAUAAAGCGCCUGACGAAGGGUUCUCAGGUAAACUCAGGCUACCCUGAGCCUGAGCAGCGUGGGAAGCGGGAGUUCUGCGUGUCUGUUGUGCGCCAGAACGCGUUUGUGUGUGAUUGAAGCUGUCCAUUCACAUCCUUCCUGAUGUUCAUGACGCGUAUGUGACAGGCACAACGUCAGACAGAUAUUUUGGUUUGAACGGGCGCGAGAUUCAGCGACAGAAGAAUUAUUUCUGCGGAGGAAAUCGGCCUCGGAUAUACCCUCCGAACUUUACUAUGUAUUUAAAUUUCACCGAAUUAAUUAUGCUCAUUUUUCUGUACAUAUUUAAAAUUAUACUGGUGUUUCAAAUUUUUUAUUUAUUUUGAAAUUUUACAGGGUUGGGAAGCAUCAGUUUUAUUUUGAGACCUGGGAUAUUUUUUAGAGUUGUCGGCGAGGAUGACGUCGUGUUCGGAAUCACAGUUAAUUUUUUUCUGGCGUUUUAAUUAUGGAGUUUUCAUCUGAUUCAUCGUAUUUUGUACCUUCAGUCGUAUCAUCCCAGCAAGAAAAUGGAUAUCCGAAGGAUAUUCAAAAUGUAUGCGGAAUAUCUGGAGGAUUUACAUCUGUACAGCCCGAUGUCAUUGGGCGGAUUCAUGUCCCGGAUAUCAAAUUUCUUGCUGGGAUGUUUUUUCGCAUUUCUGCUUUAUUUAUUUCUGAUUUAUUCAAAAUAAUAAUAUAACGAAUUUUUGGAUCUAGUUUAAAACCGAUUAAUUUGAAUUAGAACCAAUAAAUGUGUCGAAAUAUGAACGUAGAAUUUUUUUCUGAGUUACUUGUCCUUAAAUUUGAAUUAAUUUUUGAAGAAUAAAUUAAAUACUGAUUUAAAAUUAGGCCAUUUAAUUGUAUCAAUUUGUUUUCUUUAAUUUAAUUUUACAGGUCGAAUAAUUCACUUUGGCGAAAAUUACAGAUGGACUGAACUUGGUGAAAAUUAAGCAGAGAUAAGACACAAGAUGGUAAAAAUUAUUAUUUACACAAAUAUUGACAUGCAUAAAACGGCAACUAUAAAAAAUUAAAUACGUGUGCGCUAA
Molecule: long non-coding RNA, 1557 nt
Organism: Cloeon dipterum
Lineage: Eukaryota; Metazoa; Arthropoda; Insecta; Ephemeroptera; Baetidae
Exons: 2
Source: RefSeq, a predicted model, not a curated record